AUGGCGACUCCAAUUUUCAAAAAAUGCCUGUCGUGUGGAGGAAAGCUCCCGGACACCGACAGGCACGACAAAUGCCUUCUUUGCCUAGGAGAGGCUCACUCCACAGCCUCUUGCUCUGCCUGCCGGGCCUUCACACCCCAGGCGCGGAAAAAUAGAGAAACAAGACUUAAAGCACUCCUUUACGAGCGAGCGCUCCUCCCUCCUCAGGCAGCUCAAGCAAACCCCUCGGCACCUCCAACGCCAGGACGCUCUCUUUGUCUCCCGCCUCAGUCUCUCCCUCCAACGCCGUCAGCGGCAGCUAAACGCAGCCGUUCCUCCUCCACAACCAGGGAGCAUGCUGGCGGGGAAAAGGAGAAGGAGAAGAAGAAAAAGCGAAAGAAGCAUCGCUCCGCCUCCUCCAGCCAGUCUCUCUCUCACUCACUUUUCACCGCUCUGAGGGCGGCGCCGUCGCCAAUUCCGCCCACACCAGGGCGUCAACUUAGCCAGGAGGCGGGGCAACCCCAGCCUCCGAACGCAACACCUUCUCGGGGUGAGGAAACGGCCCUGCUCCCAAAGGAGUCAGCCAAUCCCCCUGCACCGUUGUCUCAACAAAGCCUCUCCACCCCGAUGAGGCUGGACACACGGGCCCGUGCUCUCGGGACCGAGGCACGCAGGGCUCACAAUGCGGAGGAGGGCCAGGCAACCACCUCCCUUCCUACCAUCCCGUCGCCUGAAAGAAUCUCUCCUGCUCAGCGCCUCCUUUCACCAAAGGCUGCCUCCUAUUCUCAUGACCUCUUCCAAUCUCCUCCUCGUCGCUCUACAUGGAGUGAACCACCUAUGCACAGUGCACUCCCUCCACUACAUGAAGACCUUAUUCACCGGUCUCCUGGUGGUAGAGAAUAUUUUUUUGGCCCAGUCGCAGCCUUUAAUCGAGCUCAACCACCCUUGCUAUCUCCACAAGACGCCCCACCCAUGACACAACCUUCAUACCAACAUGAAGAGCCACCACAAUACCUCUCUGCCUCCGACUCAGAAUCUUACAUAUCUGAGGGCGACCAAGCGGGGCCACCACCGUCAGACCCCGCACCACCCGAAGAAAUGUUAACAUUUUCAGCCCUUAUCACGAGACUCUCGCGGGCUUUAGCAUUACCAAUACCCAACCCACAGAAGCCUAUAGAGGACCCGUUGUUUCCUUCAGAUCAACAACAAACUCCAACCCCUGCUAUGGUUCUUCCUCCUUUACCAUACCUCCUACAACUGGCCAGAACCCCAGAUACCCCUCCUUUUGCUGUCCCACCGGUUUCAAGGAGAUGCGACAGCCUCUAUAGGAUUGACCUUACCUCCAACCUUUGGGCAGCAAGACCACCUAAGCCCAAUUCUUUAGCAAUAAAGGUGACUCAGGGUAGACGCUCCUCCAAGUCAUGCCCUACCCCAGCUGACAAGGAAGGCAGGAAACUGGAGGGAUUGGGCAAAAAGGUUCACCUCACCGCUGGAUUCGUGACUAGGCUUGCUCACUAUGGGGCCUAUAUGGCUUCCUACCAAGAUUACUUAUGGAAGAAGGUCGGUCCAUACCUUGACAUGCUACCUCCGCAACACCGCUCCUUUGCUACGGCAUGCCACCAUGAAGCCCUUGCCCUUGCAAGAGCCCAAAAGGAGAUGGCGAAACAUACAGCGGAUACCGCAGGUCGCAUGUUUGCAACGGCGACAGCUAUUCGUAGACAUGCAUGGCUUCGGGCUUCCACACUCUCCGAGAAGGGCAGAGAUACUGCGGAGAGUUUACCAGUCCAUGAUGAUGCCCUGUUCCACCCGGACACUGAUGGCCAAUUAAAGAGUACUCAGGAGAUGAAAAAGACAACUCAUAGCUACGGCUUUACUUCUUCUGGUAACUACCCUCCCAGGAAUAGAUGGACCCCAUACUCAUCUUACCAGCGCAGGCCCUAUGGUUCCAAUACCAGACAACUGCCGCAACCAUCCCAACCCCCCCCUUCGAGACAGCCAGCAUCUACUCGCUCUCGCCAACAGGGCAGGGGACGGUACCAACCUAGAUCACGGGGUCGUUUUUAA
RNAcentral lists this long non-coding RNA (2043 nucleotides) under Anolis carolinensis (green anole). Its description in RNAcentral is "lncRNA (ENSACAG00000041601.1)". Lineage: Eukaryota; Metazoa; Chordata; Lepidosauria; Squamata; Anolidae. The record is from RNAcentral.